This 187-nucleotide ribosomal RNA is filed under the name uncultured bacterium. RNAcentral describes it as "partial 16S ribosomal RNA". It matches the Rfam family "Bacterial small subunit ribosomal RNA", at positions 1300 to 1500 of the family's 1533-position model. The record is from RNAcentral.
GUAGGCUGAAACUCGCCUACAUGAAGCUGGAAUUGCUAGUAAUCACAGGUCAGCAUACUGUGGUGAAUACGUUCCCGGGCCUUGUACACACCGCCCGUCACACCAUGGGAGUUGAGAAUACCCGAAGCCCAUGUCAAAGUGGUCGAAGGUAGGCUUGAUGAUUGGGGUGAAGUCGUAACAAGGUAAC